Non-coding RNA from Pelobates cultripes (western spadefoot toad), 228 nucleotides. The record is from the annotation of a GenBank genome assembly. Lineage: Eukaryota; Metazoa; Chordata; Amphibia; Anura; Pelobatidae.
AUUAAACUUGGUGUGACACUCAAUACAAUACAUAAAACAACAUAAAAUGGGGAAUCACAGGCAAUCAAAUAACACAAUGAAAUGUAAAUCAGUUGAGGAGGUAAAGUUAGGAGAUUAUGGACCAUAAAAAUGAUAUUCUAUAUGCUUUGCCAUAACCAAAAAUAUAAAUGUAAUAUGCAAAUGGAAUUCCAAUUUUUAAGAAUGCUUAAUCUAAAAUAGAGAUAGUAG